AAAGUUUGUUGGGAUCAUGCAUGGUGAUUAAUUCAUCACAUGAGGUCGGUAAAGGUUGUUAUAGGUCCAAAUAAGCUUUUGAGGAAAAAGUUUUUAGCCUUUCUACUGCUUUGUGCCAUGUUCUCAUGAGAGAGGAAUCGUCAUAAUUCAUUUCUUGUUUAUUUUCCAUAAAAUUUCUUUAUAUUUAUUUAUGAAGAUUUAGAAGCAUGGUAGUGGUUUGGGGAGUGGGGACCUUUUAAUUAUGUGUAUAUUUGCCUGGUUUGAAAUUCACAGUGUAGUAAAUUUUAAGGUGCAAGUAUGAAUGUGUUGCAAAUAGACCGGAUGGCAAGAUGCAUUUGUUUGUGGAGAUAUUUUUAGGCAUUUUGUGUGAACUAACUUCCUUAGAAUUUGGGACAUGGGUAGGGUUAUUAUGAUCACUAUGGUCUGAUUGCCCUCAUGUGUGUAAGUUUGAAAUAUGUGAAUAGAAUUUUGUAAGAAUUUACAGCGGAUCAUGAUGAUAUACUUAUGUGUUAAUUAUACAUAUUUUAAUGUCAGUGAUUGAUUAACCAACUCUGAAGAGAGAAAGGGAAAUGUGUUUGGCUUGUCAAGCUGUGUCUGCACUUCAUUGCCUGGUUUUUCAGGGCUUUUUUCUUCUUUUCUUUUUCUCCCCUUUUUCAGUGUGGAGAAAAGGAAAAAUAUAAGAUAUUUAAGCAUGUUACAUAAUCUGGGGGAGGCAGGAAUGGAUGAUGAAAAUCAUAAUAAGAUUGGAAGAAGACAAAUAUUCUCUCGCUCAACUUUUUGCGAAAAUCCAGAAUGCACUAUCCUAAUAUGUCUUGACCUCCCAUUUUUGCACCCUGUAACACAAUGAAAAAGAACCUUGUUUAUUUCCUAUAAUUGUUAGGGGCCUUAAGGCCUCCUUACUAAGUCAUUUUGAUGAAUUCCUAUAUAAGAAUGUGUAAGUAAAGUUUCAACAGCAGAGAAUUGUUGUCUUCCUAUGCUUUUAAAUUUCCAAUCUUGUAAAGAUGAGUGAUUCAGUUUCAAUGAGGCAUUGUGAAAUUGGAUGUUCAGAAAGUGUAAUUUUGGCAAUUUUUUAAAGCUCUUGGUGAUUUAUUUAGUUGCAGUGAAGGUUUGCUUUUUUGCUUUAUUCAACAUUUUUGUGCGCUUUAUUUGUCAAGCAGGGUUUCCGGAAGGUUGAUCCAG
RNAcentral lists this unclassified non-coding RNA (1179 nucleotides) under Hevea brasiliensis (rubber tree). The record is from RNAcentral. Lineage: Eukaryota; Viridiplantae; Streptophyta; Magnoliopsida; Malpighiales; Euphorbiaceae.